Molecule: ribosomal RNA, 458 nt
Filed under: uncultured bacterium
Lineage: Bacteria
Description: partial 16S ribosomal RNA
Rfam family: Bacterial small subunit ribosomal RNA
Source: RNAcentral
CCUACGGGCGGCAGCAGUGAGGAAUAUUGGUCAAUGGGCGAGAGCCUGAACCAGCCAAGUCGCGUGAGGGAGUACUGCCCUAUGGGUUGUAAACCUCUUUUGUCGGGGAGCAAAAGCCGGACGUGUCCGGCUGUGAGGGUACCCGAAGAAAAAGCAUCGGCUAACUCCGUGCCAGCAGCCGCGGUAAUACGGAGGAUGCGAGCGUUAUCAGGAUUUAUUGGGGUGAAGGGGUGCGCAGGCGGAUUUUUAAGUGAGCGGUAAAAUCGUGGGGCUCAACCACAUCCAGCCGUUGAAACUGGGGAUCUAGAGUGUGCGAGAGGCAUGCGGAAUGCGUGGUGUAGCGGUGAAAUGCAUAGAUAUCACGCAGAACCCCGAUGGCGAAGGCAGCAUACCGGUGCACAACUGACGCUCAGGCACGAAAGCGUGGGUAUCGAACAGGAUUAGAUACCCUUGUAGUC